CAGCAGCCGCGGUAAUACAGAGGGUGCGAGCGUUAAUCGGAUUUACUGGGCGUAAAGCGUGCGUAGGCGGCUUCUUAAGUCGUAUGUGAAAUCCCUGAGCUUAACUUAGGAAUUGCAUUCGAUACUGGGAAGCUAGAGUAUGGGAGAGGAUGGUAGAAUUCCAGGUGUAGCGGUGAAAUGCGUAGAGAUCUGGAGGAAUACCGAUGGCGAAGGCAGCCAUCUGGCCUAAUACUGACGCUGAGGUACGAAAGCAUGGGGAGCAAACAGGAUUAGAUACCCGUGUAGUCCCUGUCUCUUAUAC
Molecule: ribosomal RNA, 301 nt
Filed under: uncultured bacterium
Lineage: Bacteria
Description: partial 16S ribosomal RNA
Rfam family: Bacterial small subunit ribosomal RNA
Source: RNAcentral